RNAcentral lists this ribosomal RNA (330 nucleotides) under Triticum aestivum (bread wheat). RNAcentral's name for it is "partial small subunit ribosomal RNA". Lineage: Eukaryota; Viridiplantae; Streptophyta; Magnoliopsida; Poales; Poaceae. The record is from RNAcentral.
CUGAACAAAUUUGCUAAGGCCCUGAGACUUCGAUGGUUAUGGUUUGAGUGGAAAGAUGAGAGCAAACCAUGGAUUGGCAUGGGAGUGCCGUGCACGGAAGAUGACCGCCAUUUCUUUGUGGCAGCCACUACGGUCACCGUGGGAAAUGGAAGGACAGUGAGGUUCUGGACUUCAUCUUGGCUAGGAGGAUUGUGCCCUCAUGAUAUCGCUCCCUGUCUCUAUGAUCUCUCCCGCAAGAAAAACUCCUUGGUUCAGCAAGCUAUGGCCAACAACCAGUGGAUUGCGAAUAUUGACAGUUCAAAUGGCCUCUCCCUUGAACACAUCCAAUAG